Molecule: ribosomal RNA, 498 nt
Filed under: uncultured bacterium
Lineage: Bacteria
Description: partial 16S ribosomal RNA
Rfam family: Bacterial small subunit ribosomal RNA
Source: RNAcentral
AUUGAACGCUGGCGGCAUGCCUUACACAUGCAAGUCGAACGGUAACAGGUCUUCGGAUGCUGACGAGUGGCGAACGGGCGAGUAAUACAUCGGAACGUGCCUAGUAGUGGGGGAUAACUACUCGAAAGAGUGGCUAAUACCGCAUGAGAUCUACGGAUGAAAGCAGGGGAUCGCAAGACCUUGUGCUACUAGAGCGGCCGAUGGCAGAUUAGGUAGUUGGUGGGAUAAAAGCUUACCAAGCCGACGGUCUGUAGCUGGUCUGAGAGGACGUUCAGCCACACUGGGACUGAGACACGGCCCAGACUCCUACGGGAGGCAGCGUUGUGGAAUUUUGGACCAUGGGCGCAAGCCUGAUCCAGCAAUGCCGCGUGCAGGAUGAAGGCCUUCGGGUUGUAAACUGCUUUUGUACGGAACGAAAAGCCCUGGGUUAAUACCCUGGGGUCAUGACGGUACCGUAAGAAUAAGCACCGGCUAACUACGUGCCAGCCGCCGCCGUAA